This 502-nucleotide ribosomal RNA is filed under the name uncultured bacterium. RNAcentral describes it as "partial 16S ribosomal RNA". It matches the Rfam family "Bacterial small subunit ribosomal RNA", at positions 30 to 523 of the family's 1533-position model. The record is from RNAcentral.
AUUGAACGCUGGCGGGAUGCUUUACACAUGCAAGUCGAACGGCAGCAUAGGUGCUUGCACCUGAUGGCGAGUGGCGAACGGGUGAGUAAUACAUCGGAACGUGCCCAGUCGUGGGGGAUAACGUAGCGAAAGUUACGCUAAUACCGCAUACGAUCUAAGGAUGAAAGCGGGGGACCGUAAGGCCUCGCGCGAUUGGAGCGGCCGAUGUCAGAUUAGGUAGUUGGUGAGGUAAAGGCUCACCAAGCCGACGAUCUGUAGCUGGUCGGAGAGGACGCCCAGCCACACUGGGACUGCGACAAGGCCCAAACUCCUACGGGAGGCAGCAGUGGGGAAUUUUGGACAAUGGACGCAAGUCUGAUCCAGCCAUUCCGCGUGCAGGACGAAGGCCUUCGGGUUGUAAACUGCUUUUGUACGGAACGAAAAAGCUCUUACUAAUACUAGGAGUCCAUGACGGUACCGUAAGAAUAAGCACCGGCUAACUACGUGCCAGCCGCCGCCGUAA